Molecule: ribosomal RNA, 253 nt
Filed under: uncultured bacterium
Lineage: Bacteria
Description: partial 16S ribosomal RNA
Rfam family: Bacterial small subunit ribosomal RNA
Source: RNAcentral
UACGGAGGGAGCUAGCGUUGUUCGGAUAUACUGGGCGUAAAGCGCACGUAGGCGGCGCCGUAAGUCAGGGGUGAAAUCCCGGAGCUCAACUCCGGAACUGCCCUUGAAACUGCAGUGCUAGAAUCUUGGAGAGGCGAGUGGAAUUCCGAGUGUAGAGGUGAAAUUCGUAGAUAUUCGGAAGAACACCAGAGGCGAAGGCGACUCGCUGGACAAGUAUUGACGCUGAGGUGCGAAAGCGUGGGGAGCAAACAGG